Molecule: ribosomal RNA, 497 nt
Filed under: uncultured bacterium
Lineage: Bacteria
Description: partial 16S ribosomal RNA
Rfam family: Bacterial small subunit ribosomal RNA
Source: RNAcentral
GAUGAACGCUGGCGGCGUGCCUAAUACAUGCAAGUCGAGCGAACGGACGAGAAGCUUGCUUCUCUGAUGUUAGCGGCGGACGGGUGAGUAACACGUGGAUAACCUACCUAUAAGUCUGGGAGAACUUCGGGAAACCGGAGCUAAUACCGGAUGAUAUUUUGAACCGCAUGGUUCAAAAGUGAAAGACGGUCUUGCUGUCACUUAUAGAUGGAUCCGCGCUGCAUUAGCUAGUUGGUAAGGUAACGGCUUACCAAGGCAACGAUGCAUAGCCGACCUGAGAGGGUGAUCGGCCACACUGGAACUGAGACACGGUCCAGACUCCUACGGGAGGCAGCAGUAGGGAAUCUUCCGCAAUGGGCGAAAGCCUGACGGAGCAACGCCGCGUGAGUGAUGAAGGUCUUCGGAUCGUAAAACUCUGUUAUUAGGGAAGAACAUAUGUGUAUGUAACUGUGCACAUCUUGACGGUACCUAAUCAGAAAGCCACGGCUAACUACGUG